GAUGAACGCUGGCGGCGUGCUUAACACGUGCAAGUCGAGCGAGAAGUUUUGAACAGAUUCUUCGGAUGAAAUUUAAAAUGGAAAGCGGCGGACGGGUGAGUAACGCGUAGGCAACCUGCCCCAUACAAAGGGAUAGCAUUUGGAAACGAAUAUUAAUACCUUAUGAAACUUAACUAGUGCAUGCUAGGUAGGUCAAAGAUUUAUCGGUAUGGGAUGGGCCUGCGUCUGAUUAGCUAGUUGGUGAGGUAACGGCUCACCAAGGCGACGAUCAGUAGCCGACCUGAGAGGGUGAACGGCCACAUUGGAACUGAGACACGGUCCAAACUCCUACGGGAGGCAGCAGUGGGGAAUAUUGCACAAUGGGGGAAACCCUGAUGCAGCAACGCCGCGUGAACGAUGAAGGCCUUUGGGUCGUAAAGUUCUGUUCUAGGUGAUGAAAACUGACAGUAACCUAGGAGAAAGCCCCGGCUAACUCCGUG
This 479-nucleotide ribosomal RNA is filed under the name uncultured bacterium. RNAcentral's name for it is "partial 16S ribosomal RNA". It matches the Rfam family "Bacterial small subunit ribosomal RNA", at positions 28 to 507 of the family's 1533-position model. The record is from RNAcentral.